UUGAACGCUGGCGGCAGGCCUAACACAUGCACGUCGAGCGGAUGAAGGGAGCUUGCUCCUGGAUUCAGCGGCGGACGGGUGAGUAAUGCCUAGGAAUCUGCCUGGUCGUGGGGGAUAACGUCCGCACCCGGGCGCUAAUACCGCAUACGUCCUGCGGGAGAAAGUGGGGGAUCUUCGGACCUCACGCUAUCAGAUGAGCCUAGGUCGGAUUAGCUAGUUGGUGGGUUAAAGGCCUACCAAGGCGACGAUCCGUAACUGGUCUGUGAGGAUGAUCAGUCACAAGGGAACUGAGAAACGGUCAAAAAUCCUAGGGGAGGAAGAAGAGGGGAACAUUGGAAAAGGGGGGAAAGCCUGAGCCAGGCAGGCCGGGGGGGGGAGGAAGGUCUUGGGAUGGUAAAGAACGUUAAGUGGGGAGGAAGGGCAGUAAGUUAAUACCGUGCUGUUGUGACGUUACCAACAGAAUAAGCACCGGCUAACUUCGUG
This 483-nucleotide ribosomal RNA is filed under the name uncultured bacterium. RNAcentral's name for it is "partial 16S ribosomal RNA". It matches the Rfam family "Bacterial small subunit ribosomal RNA", at positions 29 to 507 of the family's 1533-position model. The record is from RNAcentral.